Molecule: ribosomal RNA, 253 nt
Filed under: uncultured bacterium
Lineage: Bacteria
Description: partial 16S ribosomal RNA
Rfam family: Bacterial small subunit ribosomal RNA
Source: RNAcentral
UACGUAGGGUGCGAGCGUUAAUCGGAAUUACUGGGCGUAAAGCGUGCGCAGGCGGAUUGUUAAGCAAGAUGUGAAAUCCCCGGGCUUAACCUGGGAAUGGCAUCUUGAACUGGCAAUCUAGAGUGUGUCAGAGGGGGGUAGAAUUCCACGUGUAGCAGUGAAAUGCGUAGAUAUGUGGAGGAACAUCGAUGGCGAAGGCAGCCUCCUGGGAUAACACUGACGCUCAUGCACGAAAGCGGGGGGAGCAAACAGG